AUUGAUCACUGGUAUCACUCAGGUAAGUGAGAUAUUAGUCAUUAGUGUCUAACACAGUGCCUGGCACCCAUAAAAACAACAACUAAACAAACCAACUGGCUUCAAGCCAAUGACAGUCUUGGAGGUUUGCGUCAUUUAGGCCCCAGGUGAGUGAGUCGAAGUCGGCUGCCGGCCAGGGACCAACUAGGUAGUGACUAACCAAUGCAAUUUGAGUGGCUCUGACCUUUCAACAGCAAUGCUGCCUGAUUUGCCCGCUGUAGCCAGGGGUCUGGAGUGUCUGCACAGGCAUAGGGGUAACAGGGUGUGUACCAUUACUUUGGUAUGCUCUCCCUGAAUCCUUGUGAAGAACAACAACGUGCAGAGAUGCCUUACCCGACGGCGAAACACACGCCAGUGUGCUCCCUUCACCCACCUUUCACAUGAACUCCUGAAAAAGAGAAAGGUCAGUUCUCUGUUGCGGCCUCUGGGAGUCUACAGAUAUCAUCA
Molecule: long non-coding RNA, 486 nt
Filed under: Ovis aries (sheep)
Lineage: Eukaryota; Metazoa; Chordata; Mammalia; Artiodactyla; Bovidae
Description: lncRNA (ENSOARG00000027039.1)
Source: RNAcentral